RNAcentral lists this ribosomal RNA (494 nucleotides) under uncultured bacterium. RNAcentral describes it as "partial 16S ribosomal RNA". It matches the Rfam family "Bacterial small subunit ribosomal RNA", at positions 28 to 507 of the family's 1533-position model. The record is from RNAcentral.
GACGAACGCUGGCGGCGCGCUUAACACAUGCAAGUCGAACGGAAAGGCCUGCUUUCCCUUGUGGAUUGCGGGUACUCGAGUGGCGAACGGGUGAGUAACACGUGAGUGAUCUGCCCCCAACUUGGGUAUAAGCCUGGGAAACUGGGUCUAAUUCCCGAUAGGACUGCAGGGUUGUGCCUGUGGUGGAAAACGAUUUUCUAGUGGUUGGGGAUGAGCUCGCGGCCUAUCAGCUUGUUGGUGGGGUAAUGGCCUACCAAGGCGGCGACGGGUAGCCGGCCUGAGAGGGUGGACGGGCACAUUGGGACUGAGAUAAGGCCCAGACUCCUACGGGAGGCAGCAGUGGGGAAUAUUGCACAAUGGGCGGAAGCCUGAUGCAGCGACGCCGCGUGGGGGAUGACGGCCUUCGGGUUGUAAACUCCUUUCGACCGCGAGGAAGCCACCUGGUUGGAAGGGUGGUGACGGUAGCGGUAGAAGAAGCACCGGCUAACUACGUG